UACGAAGGGGGCGAGUGUUAUUCAUAGUGAUUGGGCGUAAAGGGUACGUAGACGGUGUUUUAAGUUCUGCUUAAACAACCAUGGCGCAACUGUGGUCUUUGUAGAAUACUGUUACGCUAGAGUCUUGCAGAGGUUAGUGGUAUUUUUAAGGUAAAAGUAAUAAUUCUCGAUCUUAAGGAGACCCCCAAAGGCGAAGGCAACUAACCAGGUCUAGACUGACGUUAAGGUACGGAGGCAUGGGGAUCGAACAGG
This 252-nucleotide ribosomal RNA is filed under the name uncultured bacterium. RNAcentral describes it as "partial 16S ribosomal RNA". It matches the Rfam family "Bacterial small subunit ribosomal RNA", at positions 524 to 776 of the family's 1533-position model. The record is from RNAcentral.